UACGAAGGGUGCAAGCGUUAAUCGGAAUUACUGGGCGUAAAGCGUGCGUAGGUGGUUGCUUAAGUCUGUCGUGAAAGCCCUGGGCUCAACCUGGGAAUGGCGAUGGAUACUGGGCGACUAGAGUGUGGUAGAGGAUGGCGGAAUUCCCGGUGUAGCGGUGAAAUGCGUAGAGAUCGGGAGGAACAUCUGUGGCGAAGGCGGCCAUCUGGACCAACACUGACACUGAGGCACGAAAGCGUGGGGAGCAAAC
RNAcentral lists this ribosomal RNA (250 nucleotides) under uncultured bacterium. Its description in RNAcentral is "partial 16S ribosomal RNA". It matches the Rfam family "Bacterial small subunit ribosomal RNA", at positions 524 to 773 of the family's 1533-position model. The record is from RNAcentral.